UACGGUUGUGGCGAAAUUUGGUAUCCGCGAUUAGUUUAGGUCUAAUUGUCUCACGACAUGAGGGUUCGAGUCCCUCCAACCGUAA
This 85-nucleotide transfer RNA is filed under the name Streptomyces albospinus. RNAcentral describes it as "tRNA-Leu". It matches the Rfam family "tRNA". From Rfam's summary of the family: Transfer RNA (tRNA) molecules are approximately 80 nucleotides in length. Their secondary structure includes four short double-helical elements and three loops (D, anti-codon, and T loops). Lineage: Bacteria; Bacillati; Actinomycetota; Actinomycetes; Kitasatosporales; Streptomycetaceae. The record is from RNAcentral.